This 569-nucleotide long non-coding RNA is filed under the name Cavia porcellus (domestic guinea pig). Its description in RNAcentral is "lncRNA (ENSCPOG00000031525.1)". Lineage: Eukaryota; Metazoa; Chordata; Mammalia; Rodentia; Caviidae. The record is from RNAcentral.
AACCUAAAAUUUUGCCCUCCCUCUGUUUAUCUGAAAUAUAGACGUGAUGGCUGAAACUGUUGGCAUCUCCCUGAGAGCACAAAGCCUACGGUCAACUCCCACAGUGCAGUGUGGAAUCGGGAGAGGAGAGCAGCUGCUGUGCUGUGGACUUUCCCUUGCUCAGCUUCACCGUGGGAGAGGACAACAAGCUGCUCUUCUGGUUCGCCACUGUCUCAGAUCUUUUCCUAUCAAGAAUGAUAUGGCUUAGCAGCUGUCACAGGCUGGGAGGAGAACCAAGAAGCCAACCCACAUGAACCAGCCACUGCCCCAGUAAGCAACCAGCUGAUUCAGAGGAAGACAGGCUGAGAUGUUAACAACUGAAGUAAAAAAACAACUUAAUGCUUGUGUUGUUUGAUUGACUUUGCAGGCCUAAAGCUGGAGAGGACAACAAUAUGCAAUAUAACAGCUAUGAAGGAUUUCCUUCUGUCUUGUUUUUGAAAUCCAAGAUUGUUCUCACUGUUUUGUUUUGUUCCAUUUUAUUAUUUUGUUUUAUUUCCUUUAAAAUAAAAAAAAGAAUUGUAUGGUUGAAC